ACGUACGCUGGCGGCACGCCUAACACAUGCAAGUCGAACGAAGUAGCAAUACUUAGUGGCAGACGGGUGAGUAACAUGUAGGUAUCUGCCCUUUGGCCUGGAAUAACACGAGGAAACUUGUGCUAAUACCGGAUAAGUCUUUACGGAGAAAGCUUUAUGCACCAUUGGAUGAGCCUGCACUUGAUUAGUUUGUUGGUGGGGUAAUGGCCUACCAAGACUGUGAUCAAUAGCUGAUUUGAGAGGAUGAUCAGCCACAUUGGGACUGAGACACGGCCCAAACUCCUACGGGAGGCAGCAGUGGGGAAUCUUGCACAAUGGAGGAAACUCUGAUGCAGCGAUGCCGCGUGAGUGAAGAAGGCCCUUGGGUUGUAAAGCUCUUUCGUCGGGGAAGAAAAUGACUGUACCCGAAUAAGAAGGUCCGGCUAACUUCGUGCCAGCAGCCGCGGUAAUACGAAGGGACCUAGCGUAGUUCGGAAUUACUGGGCUUAAAGAGUUCGUAGGUGGUUGAAAUAGUUGGUGGUGAAAUCCCAGAGCUUAACUCUGGAACUGCCCAUCAAAACUUUUCAGCUAGAGUAUGAUAGAGGAAAGCAGAAUUUCUAGUGUAGAGGUGAAAUUCGUAGAUAUUAGAAAGAAUACCAAUUGCGAAGGCAGCUUUCUGGAUCAUUACUGACACUGAGGAACGAAAGCAUGGGUAGCGAAGAGGAUUAGAUACCCUCGUAGUCCAUGCCGUAAACGAUGUGUGUUAGACGUUGGAAAUUUAUUUUCAGUGUCGCAGGGAAACCGAUAAACACACCGCCUGGGGAGUACGACCGCAAGGUUAAAACUCAAAUGAAUUGACGGGGACCCGCACAAGUAGUGGAGCAUGUGGUUUAAUUCGAAGAUACGCGCAGAACCUUACCAACACUUGACAUGUUCGUCGCGACUCUAAGAGAUUAGAGUUUUCGGUUCGGCCGGACGAAACACAGGUGCUGCAUGGCUGUCGUCAGCUCGUGUCGUGAGAUGUUGGGUUAAGUCCCGCAACGAGCGCAACCCUCACUUUUAGUUGCCAUCAUUAAGUUGGGCACUCUGAAAGAACUGCCAGUGAUAAGCUGGAGGAAGGUGGGGAUGACGUCAAGUCCUCAUGGCCCUUACGUGUUGGGCUACACACGUGCUACAAUGGUAUCUACAACAGGAAGCAAGACUGCGAAGUUAAGCAAAUCCCUAAAAGAUACCUCAGUUCGGAUUGCACUCUGCAACUCGAGUGCAUGAAGCUGGAAUUACUAGUAAUCGUGGAUCAGCGUGCCACGGUGAAUGCGUUCCCGGGUCUUGUACACACCGCC
Molecule: ribosomal RNA, 1319 nt
Filed under: uncultured Alphaproteobacteria bacterium
Lineage: Bacteria; Pseudomonadati; Pseudomonadota; Alphaproteobacteria
Description: bacterial SSU rRNA
Rfam family: Bacterial small subunit ribosomal RNA
Source: RNAcentral